GUGCCAGCAGCCGCGGUAAUACGUAGGGGGCCAGCGUUGUUCGGAAUUACUGGGUGUAAAGGGUUCGUAGGCGGUGUGGCAAGUUGGGAGUGAAAUCUCUGGGCUCAACCCAGAGACGGCUUCCAAAACUGCCGUGCUUGAGUGUGGGAGAGGCUCGUGGAAUUGCAGGUGUAGCGGUGAAAUGCGUAGAUAUCUGCAGGAACACCCGUGGCGAAAGCGGCGAGCUGGACCACUACUGACGCUGAAGAACGAAAGCUAGGGGAGCAAACAGGAUUAGAUACCCUGGUAGUCC
RNAcentral lists this ribosomal RNA (292 nucleotides) under uncultured bacterium. Its description in RNAcentral is "partial 16S ribosomal RNA". It matches the Rfam family "Bacterial small subunit ribosomal RNA", at positions 505 to 796 of the family's 1533-position model. The record is from RNAcentral.